Molecule: ribosomal RNA, 468 nt
Filed under: uncultured bacterium
Lineage: Bacteria
Description: partial 16S ribosomal RNA
Rfam family: Bacterial small subunit ribosomal RNA
Source: RNAcentral
GACGAACGCUGGCGGCGUGCUUAACACAUGCCAGUCGAACGGAAAGGCCCUGCUUUUGUGGGGUGCUCGAGUGGCGAACGGGUGAGUAACACGUGAGUAACCUGCCCUUGACUUUGGGAUAACUUCAGGAAACAGGGGCUAAUACCGGAUAGGAGCUCCUGCUGCACGGUGGGGGUCGGAAAGUUUCGGCGGUUGGGGAUGGACUCGCGGCUUAUCAGCUUGUUGGUGGGGUAGUGGCUUACCAAGGCUUCGACGGGUAGCCGGCCUGAGAGGGUGACCGGGCACCUGGGGACUGAGAUACGGCGCAGUCUCCUACGGGAGGCAGCAGUGGAGAAUAUGGCACAAUGGGCGGAAGCCUGAUGCAGCAACGCCGCGUGCGGGAUGACGGCCUUCGGGGCGUAAACCGCUUUCGACUGUGACGAAGCGUGAGUGACGGUAAUGGGUAAAGAAGCACCGGCUAACUACGUG